Suricata suricatta (meerkat) is the source of this 154-nucleotide long non-coding RNA. RefSeq lists it as uncharacterized. The transcript has 3 exons. The record is from RefSeq and is a predicted model, not a curated record. NCBI's taxonomy places the organism in Eukaryota, Metazoa, Chordata, Mammalia, Carnivora, Herpestidae.
AACAACAAAAUCAAGAAAUUAAACUGGUGGACCUGAAGAAAAUAACAUUCUUGGAUAAGUCUGUUUUUGGAGAUUUGUUAGCAUAUGAAUGUGAUCCUGGAGAAUGUUCCAUGUGCACUAGAGAAUGUGUAUUCUGCUGCUCUUAGAUGAAAUG